This 508-nucleotide ribosomal RNA is filed under the name uncultured bacterium. RNAcentral describes it as "bacterial SSU rRNA". It matches the Rfam family "Bacterial small subunit ribosomal RNA", at positions 29 to 507 of the family's 1533-position model. The record is from RNAcentral.
ACGAACGCUGGCGGCGUGCUUAACACAUGCAAGUCGAACGAGAAGAGAUGAGAAGCUUGCUUCUUAUUAAUUCGAGUGGCAAACGGGUGAGUAACGCGUAAGCAACCUGCCCUUCAGAUGGGGACAACAACUGGAAACGGCUGCUAAUACCGAAUACGUUCUUUUUGUCGCAUGGCAGAGAGAAGAAAGGGAGGCUCUUCGGAGCUUUCGCUGAAGGAGGGGCUUGCGUCUGAUUAGCUAGUUGGAGGGGUAACGGCCCACCAAGGCGACGAUCAGUAGCCGGUCUGAGAGGAUGAACGGCCACAUUGGGACUGAGACACGGCCCAGACUCCUACGGGAGGCAGCAGUGGGGAAUCUUCCGCAAUGGACGAAAGUCUGACGGAGCAACGCCGCGUGAACGAUGACGGCCUUCGGGUUGUAAAGUUCUGUUAUACGGGACGAAUGGCGUAGCGGUCAAUACCCGUUACGAGUGACGGUACCGUAAGAGAAAGCCACGGCUAACUACGUG